Molecule: long non-coding RNA, 919 nt
Filed under: Ursus maritimus (polar bear)
Lineage: Eukaryota; Metazoa; Chordata; Mammalia; Carnivora; Ursidae
Description: lncRNA (ENSUMAG00000014483.1)
Source: RNAcentral
GCCUGAUCCCGCAUUCUAUGGAAAGUCAAUGAGUGACCAAAGUUAUUGUAAUAAGGACUCAUCAUUAAUGACAAAAAGGUUGUGGCCGAAAAGGAAGUUAUAAAGCAUACGAAAAGAUUCUCCUAAGCACAUCUCCAACAGCAUGAGCCAGGGGUUGUUACAGCUGGUACACUCUUCACAUUUCCCUCUGUUUUUCCCUGUGGGGUCUGCGAUGAGCUACUUCUGCAUGGACUUUGGAGAAUAACUCGUCUUUGUAUUGCAGACUGAGAGAAUUAUUUGCAGAGAAAAAAACAAAGUUUCUACAACACUGGUUUCUAUUCUGACAAGCACAAAACCCUGCACCAAGUUGAACCUGUCCUUUGUGAUGAGGCUGUUGAACAGAAGAGCAGCGUAGCAGUCUGUCUAUUCUUGCUCCACAUUCAGCUAAAUGCCAACUCUGAUCCCUUUGAGAUGGUGAACAGACUGAACUCAGGGAGAGUGUCAUCUCUCAGUAGCCAAGCUUCUUCAGAGAACCAUGUGGUGAAACUUCUUGAUAAAGGUCAUGUUCUUAGUCCAUGGCAUCAAUUUUUCUAUAAGCUAAAAGAUUAUCUAUCUAUAUAAAUAUAGGUAGAAAUAGAUAAGAUAGUGCUUUAAUCUGCAAAUUAUAAAACCAUGUAAAAAGAAAUUAAACAACUCAGAUCUUAGUUUUGCAUUAUCUUACGUUGUUUUACAUUGCAAUCUUUGCGAUUCAAUUGUAUCCUUUUUGAUUUUAUGUAAACCAGGUGCGUAUCAAAAGACUCCUUUUUAUUAGUGUGACUGUUUUACUGUAAAAUAACUUUUUAAUCUCUGCUUUGCCUAUUGGCUAGAAUAAUUAUAUUAUCAGUUUUAGAUGUUUUAUGAACUUAUGUGUUAUUUCCAAAAGACACCGGUAUUUGGUUUU